This 469-nucleotide ribosomal RNA is filed under the name uncultured bacterium. RNAcentral describes it as "partial 16S ribosomal RNA". It matches the Rfam family "Bacterial small subunit ribosomal RNA", at positions 28 to 507 of the family's 1533-position model. The record is from RNAcentral.
GACGAACGCUGGCGGCGUGCUUAACACAUGCAAGUCGAACGGAAAGGCCCUGCUUGCAGGGUGCUCGAGUGGCGAACGGGUGAGUAACACGUGGGUGAUCUGCCCCUUACUUUGGGAUAAGCCUGGGAAACUGGGUCUAAUACUGGAUAGGACCAUGCUGUAGGUGGUGUGGUGGAAAGAUUAGUUUCGGUAAGGGAUGAGCUCGCGGCCUAUCAGCUUGUUGGUGGGGUAAUGGCCUACCAAGGCGUCGACGGGUAGCCGGCCUGAGAGGGUGGACGGCCACAUUGGGACUGAGAUACGGCCCAGACGCCUACGGGAGGCAGCAGUGGGGAAUAUUGCACAACGGGCGCAAGCCUGAUGCAGCGACGCCGCGGGGGGGAUGACGGCCUUCGGGUUGUAAACUCCUUUCAGCCAUGACGAAGCCCUUGUGGUGACGGUAGUGGUAGAAGAAGCACCGGCUAACUACGUG